CAGCAGCCGCGGUAAUACAGAGGGUGCGAGCGUUAAUCGGAUUUACUGGGCGUAAAGCGUGCGUAGGCGGCUUCUUAAGUCUGAUGUGAAAUCCCUGAGCUUAACUUAGGAAUUGCAUUCGAUACUGGGAAGCUAGAGUAUGGGAGAGGAUGGUAGAAUUCCAGGUGUAGCGGUGAAAUGCGUAGAGAUCUGGAGGAAUACCGAUGGCGAAGGCAGCCAUCUGGCCUAAUACUGACGCUGAGGUACGAAAGCAUGGGGAGCAAACAGGAUUAGAUACCCCAGUAGUCCCUGUCUCUUAUAC
Molecule: ribosomal RNA, 301 nt
Filed under: uncultured bacterium
Lineage: Bacteria
Description: partial 16S ribosomal RNA
Rfam family: Bacterial small subunit ribosomal RNA
Source: RNAcentral